Molecule: non-coding RNA, 63 nt
Filed under: unclassified sequences
Source: RNAcentral
CGGAAAUAGAGCAGCAAGUCGGUAGCUCCUGCGCCCGUUACCACGGGUUCUUCCCAGCCACGG